UACGAAGGGGGCUAGCGUUGCUCGGAAUCACUGGGCGUAAAGGGUGCGUAGGCGGGUCUUUAAGUCAGGGGUGAAAUCCUGGAGCUCAACUCCAGAACUGCCUUUGAUACUGAAGAUCUUGAGUUCGGGAGAGGUGAGUGGAACUGCGAGUGUAGAGGUGAAAUUCGUAGAUAUUCGCAAGAACACCAGUGGCGAAGGCGGCUCACUGGCCCGAUACUGACGCUGAGGCGCGAAAGCCAGGGGAGCGAACGGG
Molecule: ribosomal RNA, 253 nt
Filed under: uncultured bacterium
Lineage: Bacteria
Description: partial 16S ribosomal RNA
Rfam family: Bacterial small subunit ribosomal RNA
Source: RNAcentral